GGGCGUAAAGCGCGCGCAGGCGGCUAUUUAAGUUGGAUGUGNANGCCUACGGCUCAACCNUAGAACUGCAUCCAAAACUAUUUAGCUAGAGUGUGGGAGAGGAAGAUGGAAUNAGUUGUGUAGGGGUAAAAUCNGUAGAGAUAACUAGGAAUACCAAAAGCGAAGGCAAUCUUCUGGAACACUACUGACGCUGAGGCGCGAAAGCGUGGGGAGCAAACGGGAUUAGACACCCCGGUAGUCCACGCAGUAAACGAUGAAUGUUAGUCGUCGGGGGCCUAGUGUCUUCGGUGAUGCAGUUAACACAUUAAACAUUCCGCCUGGGGAGUACGGUCGCAAGAUUAAAACUCAAAGGAAUAGACGGGGACCCGCACAAGUGGUGGAGCAUGUGGUUUAAUUCGAAGAUACGCGAAGAACCUUACCUAGCCUUGACAUAUAUUAGAAUUUUUCAGAGAUGAGGGAGUGCCUUCGGGAGCUUUUAUACAGGUGCUGCACGGCUGUCGUCAGCUCGUGUCGCGAGAUGUUGGGUUAAGUCCCGCAACGAGCGCAACCCUCGUCACUAGUUACUAACGGUUCGGCCGAGGACUCUAGUGAGACUGCCUUCGCAAGGAGGAGGAAGGUGAGGACGACGUCAAGUCAUCAUGGCCCUUACGGCUAGGGCAACACACGUGCUACAAUGGUUAGGACAAUGAGACGCAAUACCGCGAGGUGGAGCAAAUCUAUAAACCUAAUCUCAGUUCGGAUUGUAGUCUGCAACUCGACUACAUGAAGCUGGAAUCACUAGUAAUCGUAGAUCAGCUAUGCUACGGUGAAUACGUUCCCGGGUCUUGUACUCACCGCCCGUCACACCAUGGGAGUUGAUUUCACCCGAAGCGGGGAAGCUAAACUGGCUACCCUCCACGGUGGAAUCAGCGACUGGGGUGAAGUCGUAACAAGGUAAC
RNAcentral lists this ribosomal RNA (938 nucleotides) under uncultured bacterium. RNAcentral describes it as "bacterial SSU rRNA". It matches the Rfam family "Bacterial small subunit ribosomal RNA", at positions 556 to 1500 of the family's 1533-position model. The record is from RNAcentral.